RNAcentral lists this transfer RNA (70 nucleotides) under Gymnotus cuia. RNAcentral describes it as "tRNA-Met". It matches the Rfam family "tRNA". From Rfam's summary of the family: Transfer RNA (tRNA) molecules are approximately 80 nucleotides in length. Lineage: Eukaryota; Metazoa; Chordata; Actinopteri; Gymnotiformes; Gymnotidae. The record is from RNAcentral.
AGCAAGGUCAGCUAAAACAAGCUCCCGGGCCCAUACCCCGAAAAUGUAGGUUAAAAUCCAACCCUCGCUA